This 844-nucleotide ribosomal RNA is filed under the name uncultured bacterium. RNAcentral describes it as "bacterial SSU rRNA". It matches the Rfam family "Bacterial small subunit ribosomal RNA", at positions 56 to 941 of the family's 1533-position model. The record is from RNAcentral.
UGCAGUCGCACGAGAAAGUGGAGCAAUCCAUGAGUAAAGUGGCGCACGGGUGAGUAACACGUGAAUUAUCUACCUCCGAGUGGGGAAUAACUGAGAGAAAUCUUAGCUAAUACCGCAUAACACUUACGAGUCAAAGCAGCAAUGCGCUUGGAGAGGAGUUCGCGGCCGAUUAGUUAGUUGGCGGGGUAAUGGCCCACCAAGACGAUGAUCGGUAUCCGGCCUGAGAGGGCGCACGGACACACUGGAACUGAAACACGGUCCAGACUCCUACGGGAGGCAGCAGUGGGGAAUUUUGCGCAAUGGGGGAAACCCUGACGCAGCAACGCCGCGUGGAGGAUGAAAUCCCUUGGGAUGUAAACUCCUUUCGAUCGGGACGAUUAUGACGGUACCGGAAGAAGAAGCCCCGGCUAACUUCGUGCCAGCAGCCGCGGUAAUACGAGGGGGGCAAGCGUUGUUCGGAAUUAUUGGGCGUAAAGGGCGCGUAGGCGGUUUGACAAGUCUGAUGUGAAAUCUCUGGGCUCAACCCAGAGUCUGCAUUAGAAACUGUCGGGCUUGAGUAUGGGAGAGGUGAGUGGAAUUUCCGGUGUAGCGGUGAAAUGCGUAGAUAUCGGAAGGAACACCUGUGGCGAAAGCGGCUCACUGGACCAUAACUGACGCUGAGGCGCGAAAGCUAGGGGAGCAAACAGGAUUAGAUACCCUGGUAGUCCUAGCCCUAAACGAUGAUUGCUUGGUGUGACAGACCCAAUCCUGUCGUGCCGAAGCUAACGCGAUAAGCAAUCCGCCGGGGAGUAGGUCGCAAGGUGAAACUCAAAGGAAUUGACGGGGCCCGCACAGCGGGAGCAUG